UAAUACGGAGGGGGCCAGCGUUGUUCGGAAUUAUUGGGCGUAAAGGGCGCGUAGGCGGCUCGGUAAGUCGGCUGUGAAAGCCCUCGGCUCAACCGAGGAAUUGCGGCCGAUACUGCCGGGCUUGAGUCCCGGAGAGGGUAGCGGAAUUCCCAGUGUAGCGGUGAAAUGCGUAGAUAUUGGGAGGAACACCAGUGGCGAAGGCGGCUACCUGGACGGGUACUGACGCUGAUGUGCGAAAGCGUGGGGAGCAAACAGGAUUAGAUACCCUGGUAGUCCACGCUGUAAACGAUGGGUACUUGGUGUUGCGGGUAUCGACCCCUGCAGUGCCGAAGCUAACGCAUUAAGUACCCCGCCUGGGGAGUACGGUCGCAAGGCUG
Molecule: ribosomal RNA, 377 nt
Filed under: uncultured bacterium
Lineage: Bacteria
Description: bacterial SSU rRNA
Rfam family: Bacterial small subunit ribosomal RNA
Source: RNAcentral